GAUGAACGCUGACAGAAUGCUUAACACAUGCAAGUCUUUGGCGAAGCUGUGCUUGCACAGCCUAGCCAAGGCGGACGGGUGAGUAACGCUUAAGGAACUUGCCCUGCAGUCAGGGAUAACAGACGGAAACGACUGAUAAGACCUGGUAAAGUCAGGCGGACUCAUGUCCAGCCUGAUUAAAAGAGAUGCUGCAGGAGAGCCUUGCGUCCUAUUAGCUUGUUGGUGGGGUAACGGCCCACCAAGGCGAUGAUAGGUAGCCGGCCUGAGAGGGUGGACGGCCACAAGGGGACUGAGAUACGGCCCUUACUCCUACGGGAGGCAGCAGUGGGGAAUAUUGGACAAUGGGGGCAACCCUGAUCCAGCAAUUCUGUGUGCACGAUGAAGGUUUUCGGAUUGUAAAGUGCUUUCAGCAGGGAAGAAAAAAAUGACGGUACCUGCAGAAGAAGCGACGGCUAAAUACGU
Molecule: ribosomal RNA, 462 nt
Filed under: uncultured bacterium
Lineage: Bacteria
Description: partial 16S ribosomal RNA
Rfam family: Bacterial small subunit ribosomal RNA
Source: RNAcentral